ACAUUAUUAUUAUAAAAAAUAUAUUUGACUUCCAAUCAGAAGACCUUGGUUUAGCCCAAGAUAAUGUA
Molecule: transfer RNA, 68 nt
Filed under: Synallactes sp. Y30071
Lineage: Eukaryota; Metazoa; Echinodermata; Holothuroidea; Aspidochirotida; Synallactidae
Description: tRNA-Gly
Rfam family: tRNA
About the family: Transfer RNA (tRNA) molecules are approximately 80 nucleotides in length. Their secondary structure includes four short double-helical elements and three loops (D, anti-codon, and T loops). Further hydrogen bonds mediate the characteristic L-shaped molecular structure. tRNAs have two regions of fundamental functional importance: the anti-codon, which is responsible for specific mRNA codon recognition, and the 3' end, to which the tRNAs corresponding amino acid is attached (by aminoacyl-tRNA synthetases). tRNAs cope with the degeneracy of the genetic code in two manners: having more than one tRNA (with a specific anti-codon) for a particular amino acid; and 'wobble' base-pairing, i.e. permitting non-standard base-pairing at the 3rd anti-codon position.
Source: RNAcentral